CAGUCGCCGCGGGAAUACCGGCAGCCCAAGUGGUAGUCAUGUUUAGUGGGUCUAAAGCGUCCGUAGCCGGCUAUGUAAGUUCCUUGGGAAAUUUGAUCGCUUAACGAUCAAGCUACCGGGGAAUACUACCUGGCUUGGGACCGGGAGAGGUUAGAGGUACUUUAAGGGUAGGGGUGAAAUCCGUUAAUCCUUGGGGGACCACCGGUAGCGAAGGCGUCUGACCAGACCGGAUCCGACGGUGAGGGACGAAGGCUAGGGGAGCGAACCGGAUUAGAUACCCGGGUAGUCCCUGUCUCUUAUU
RNAcentral lists this ribosomal RNA (301 nucleotides) under uncultured bacterium. RNAcentral describes it as "partial 16S ribosomal RNA". It matches the Rfam family "Archaeal small subunit ribosomal RNA", at positions 459 to 759 of the family's 1478-position model. The record is from RNAcentral.